AGACCACAUUCAUAUAACUUUUAUUAUAGUAUGUUAUUAUUUUUGUUCUAUUUUACCAUUACUUACUAUUGUUCAUCUCUUACCAUGUCUUACCUUAGUAUUAUUAACUAAUAAUUUAAUUUAUAAAUUAGACUUUAUCCUAGGUGUGCGUGUAUAGGAAAAAACAGGAUAUAUAGGGUUCAGCACUAUCUGUGGCUUCAGGCAUCUGCGGGGGGUCUUGGAACGUAUCCCUGUGGAUAAGGUUUCAGGUGUGCAAUACAGUGAUUCGACACUUCCUACAACAGCCAGGAAGAGUCUGACAUGUGUUCCCCAAGGCUGAAGGACACAGGGGACUGGCAUCUAACUCUCUGAGAGGUCUCCCGCAUGAUAGGUUGGCUGAGUUGCUGCAACAGACAAGAGGAAGAAAUGGUGUAUCAGGGCCACCAGCACUCCUGGAGUUCACUGGGGUUAACAACAGUAACUGGUGGAGGAAGAAAAAACAGCAUUUGGAAGAAGAAUUAAGGUGUUCUGGGAGAACCUUCACUGUGGGUGUGGUGGAUGGAAAGAAAGUAGACCAUGUACCUCAAGAAGAUACAAGAACAGACACCUUCCCAGAGAUAGAGACCUCUGGCACACCCCUACCUACCACAGUUUGA
This 635-nucleotide long non-coding RNA is filed under the name Mustela putorius furo (domestic ferret). RNAcentral describes it as "lncRNA (ENSMPUG00000030798.1)". Lineage: Eukaryota; Metazoa; Chordata; Mammalia; Carnivora; Mustelidae. The record is from RNAcentral.